AGAGGCGGCAACGGCGACGGCAGCAAGCGGUCUCUAGAGCUGAGGAGCUGCUGCAGAAGAAAGAAGAAGCAGCGGCGUGGGGACCUGGGCGGCAGGAGCGAGCAAGAAGAGGAUGCGGAAGCGUGCAGAUGCGGGGGGGAAGGAGAGAGGCUCCCUGGGCAAAGCACCUGUCCCGUUAGCGGGGCCGCAGUCGCAUUUGAGUUGAGCGUUGCCGGCGCCUUUGGCGACCCGGCCGGCUUUGUGCUGGGCGACCUCCCUGUAAGCAGGGCUCGGGUCUUUGCUGUAGUUGGCCUUUUGCCUUGCUGCUCCUAGGGCUGCCUGGGGAGCGUGGCCCCCUGUAACGGAGGGCGAGAGCCACCUCUCCGCACCUGAGUGGGAAAUGGAGCUCGCCGGACCCCGAGGCCACCCUGUAAGCAGGGUAGUGCCGCUUCCCUGCCCCUCUUUGUCCUCCGGCCCCUCGGCAUCGUUGCCUGGUGGUGGCCUGUCAAUGCGACGGCCCCGUACUCGGGGUGCGCGCCACGGCAUUUGGCCUUUGGCUUUACCCGAGGAGCCCCUUGGCACGUUGAGGUCUGUGGCCUCCGUGCAGCCUAGGGACAGGUCACAGGCUCUUGUCUGUUGCUUGUGGUUGUGGGUUUAUUCCCAGGUGUUGGCUGCGCUGGGUUGUCCUUCCCUUCUGGAAAGUCGCGCCUGCGUGUGUGCGUUCCCCUUCCUUUCCUUGUUUGCGUUUGUGGAGCGACUGAGCGACUGAGCUUUCCCUUUAGGCCUCCCCAGAGACGGCUGCAGCUUAGCUUUGACUUCCCGGGGGGGAACGGAGGACUUUGGUGCAUGCCGCAAGAGGGGUGUUCCCUGCUAGUCCCGCGAGCGCAGCGAGUGUCCUGUCUUCCUCCUUUUUACUUAGUCCAGAUCAGAGCCACGCGGUAGUUGUGUGGCCGAGGCCGCCCUGUAGCCAGGGCUUGGGCCUGUCCUUGCGUGGCCGCCUGUUCUGCUGGCGGCGUGGCAGCCCUGUAGUCGGGGUGUGUGUCCCAAGCUUAGGAGCCCUCUGUCCCUUGAGCAGCCCGCCCGCCCGCCCUGUACUCAGGUGUGGGGAGGCUGCAGCGUUGCAGCCGGCUGCUUUAGCCAUCCAGCUGGUGGGAAUGACCCCUCCCUGUCCCGUCAGAGGGUGCAGGUUGAGGUGCUGCUUGCGUGUGGGGUGACCUCCCCGCUCGGUGGGUCGAGGCUGCUCCCUGGGUUCCCCAAGAGAAGACGUUGGUGAUGUUCUGCUGCUGCCGGGCGGGCCCGCCUGUAGCUCAGGCGUUGGCGGGAGCCUCGUGCUCCGCGGGGCUUCUUGGAGAGGGUGAGGUGCGGGGGUACGGUCCUGUAGGCAGGGCUGUGCGUGCCCCCCGUGUGUGCUUGGUGAGCUGUGUUCCGAGAGACCCCCCCCCCCCGGCCGUACUCGGGUGGGAAUGUGGCCCCGGCCUUUCAGAGGCACGGGGCUGCGAGGUGUGGGCUUGGGCUUGCGCCCUCCCUGGAAGUUGAGGCUGGGAUCCCGACUGCGGCCUUUGGCCGUGCCGCCCCGCUGCCUGGCUGCUGAGAGUUGUUCCUGCCGCUGGGGGGGAAACCGAGCUCUGUGGCUCCAGGGGUGUCGUCCACCCGCCUGUAAUCAGGGUCUGGGUGCGCGAGCGUUUGUGCUCUGCUGGCAGCCUGUGUGGGGUGACCGCCCCGUUAGCGGGGUGUGGGUCGAGGUGCCCCGGACUGGGAGAGAAGGAGCCUCUCCCGGCCGUAGGGAUGGGGGCUGCCCUGUAAGUCAGGGAGCAACCGUGCCCCGGAGUCCCAGGCCCUUUGCGUUGGAGGCAGUGGCUGGGGGCCCCCUGUAAGCAGGGAAGCUGGCUCUUUGGCCGCUGCUUUUUGUACGCCCAGCCCCAUUUGCCCAGCCUGCCCGCCUCUGUGAUCCCCCGCAGCACCGGCUGGAAGUCCGCCGCGCGUCAGUGAGGAGCUGCUGCAGAAGAAAGAAGAAGCAGCGGCGUGGGGACCUGGGC
This 2015-nucleotide long non-coding RNA is filed under the name Gallus gallus (chicken). Lineage: Eukaryota; Metazoa; Chordata; Aves; Galliformes; Phasianidae. The record is from RNAcentral.